Molecule: small nucleolar RNA, 60 nt
Filed under: Carlito syrichta (Philippine tarsier)
Lineage: Eukaryota; Metazoa; Chordata; Mammalia; Primates; Tarsiidae
Description: Small nucleolar RNA Me28S-Am2634 (ENSTSYG00000033810.1)
Source: RNAcentral
AAUUCUGUUUUAUUUAUUAUUUUUUGAGUUGGAAUCUCACUCCAUCGCCCAGGCUGGAGU